GAGACACCCCUAUGGAGCAAGACUUGAUUGAGUGGGGCUUUGGUGCUCACCUUGAGUCUGCCCCUUGAGUGUGUCACU
Myotis brandtii (Brandt's bat) is the source of this 78-nucleotide non-coding RNA. The record is from Rfam. NCBI's taxonomy places the organism in Eukaryota, Metazoa, Chordata, Mammalia, Chiroptera, Vespertilionidae.